UACGUAGGGUGCAAGCGUUGUCCGGAAUUAUUGGGCGUAAAGAGCUCGUAGGCGGUUCGUCGCGUCGGCUGUGAAAUCCCGAGGCUCAACCUCGGGUCUGCAGUCGAUACGGGCGGACUGGAGUUCGGCAGGGGAGACUGGAAUUCCUGGUGUAGCGGUGAAAUGCGCAGAUAUCAGGAGGAACACCGGUGGCGAAGGCGGGUCUCUGGGCCGAUACUGACGCUGAGGAGCGAAAGCGUGGGGAGCAAACGGG
This 253-nucleotide ribosomal RNA is filed under the name uncultured bacterium. RNAcentral describes it as "partial 16S ribosomal RNA". It matches the Rfam family "Bacterial small subunit ribosomal RNA", at positions 524 to 776 of the family's 1533-position model. The record is from RNAcentral.